RNAcentral lists this ribosomal RNA (253 nucleotides) under uncultured bacterium. RNAcentral describes it as "partial 16S ribosomal RNA". It matches the Rfam family "Bacterial small subunit ribosomal RNA", at positions 793 to 1055 of the family's 1533-position model. The record is from RNAcentral.
GUCCACGCCGUAAACGAUGGAUACUAAGUGUUGGUGAAAAUCAGUGCUGUAGUUAACGCAAUAAGUAUCCCGCCUGGGGAGUAUGCGCGCAAAGCGUCAAAACUCAAAGGAAUUGACGGGGGCCCGCACAAGCGGUGGAGUAUGUGGUUUAAUUCGAAGCAACGCGAAGAACCUUACCAGGUCUUGACAUAUAGUUAAAAAAGCACAGAGAUGUGUAAUAGUUAUAGCUAUACAGGUGGUGCAUGGUUGUCGU